Molecule: long non-coding RNA, 432 nt
Organism: Siniperca chuatsi (mandarin fish)
Lineage: Eukaryota; Metazoa; Chordata; Actinopteri; Centrarchiformes; Sinipercidae
Exons: 2
Source: RefSeq, a predicted model, not a curated record
CCAGGCCUCCGUUAGGGCCAAAUCUAAGAGAAUGGUCCUCCAUCACGUCAUCCACCUGGAUGAGCUCACGGAUGUCUGAGGACACAGAAACAAUGGGGUUGUCUUGUAGAAGAAAACAAAACUCAUUAAACAUGUGCAGAAGGAAUCACUUUCUUUCUUAACACAGUAAAUAGCAUUAAAUAUGCACACUCCCCAGUCUCAGUUGUGACAACAUAACAUAACAAUGUUAUGAUAUAUAUUUUAUGGUGUAUUAUUUUGUACUGUGUUUGUAUUGUUGAAAUUGCUAGUUUAGUGUGUUAUUAUUAUACUGUAUCUGAACCAACUCAUCUAUCUGUUAUCAGCAAACCAUAUCUCAGUGCUUCAGUGUUUUUCAAUGUGACCUAAAACACUAUGUAAACCCAAUAUAAGCAUGUAAUAAAUAACAAAACUAUA